Molecule: long non-coding RNA, 464 nt
Organism: Stegostoma tigrinum
Lineage: Eukaryota; Metazoa; Chordata; Chondrichthyes; Orectolobiformes; Stegostomatidae
Exons: 3
Source: RefSeq, a predicted model, not a curated record
GAAAAUAUCUGGAUUCAAACCUGAGCGAUCUGAGGAAAGACGUUAAAGGCAACCUUCAAUAUUUAAUUUUUACAUUCGUGCACAAUCAGUAGUCGUAGGUUGACAGCGAGGCAAAAUAUUUCUCAAUUCGAAAAUCAUUAGUUCGUUGAAGACAACGAAGCUCCCAUCACUUUCUCCCAAUGUGAAUUUCAAACGUAUGCAACGUUUGCCUGAAAAAAAUAUGGCUGAACAGGACUAACACUUACAGAACAGAAUGCUGCCUAAAUUCCAUCAGGAGAUCAACUGGAGUGAAACCACAGAAACCUGCUACUGUAAGGCAUAAGGCAUUACAAAUCUGUCUUCACAUACCUUCAAUCUCUAUUUCUUCAGACAUUCAAGCAAGCAAAUCACAAGCCUGCAAUGUCUCAAUACUUCAUCUUGAAAGAAGCAGCCAUGGUUCUGAAUUUUUGGAUUUCUACACCCAA